UGGAGCUAUUGUAUUUCACC
RNAcentral lists this microRNA (20 nucleotides) under Schmidtea mediterranea. RNAcentral's name for it is "sme-miR-755-5p". Its record names the gene sme-miR-755-5p. Lineage: Eukaryota; Metazoa; Platyhelminthes; Tricladida; Dugesiidae. The record is from miRBase by way of RNAcentral.